GUGGCUGUGGCGGAAUGGCAGACGCGCAUGCUUGAGGGGCAUGUGGGAGACCGUGCUGGUUCGAGUCCAGUCAGCCACACCA
Molecule: transfer RNA, 82 nt
Filed under: Mogibacterium timidum
Lineage: Bacteria; Bacillati; Bacillota; Clostridia; Peptostreptococcales; Anaerovoracaceae
Also listed under: 15 other names
Description: tRNA-Leu(gag)
Rfam family: tRNA
About the family: Transfer RNA (tRNA) molecules are approximately 80 nucleotides in length.
Source: RNAcentral